Molecule: long non-coding RNA, 222 nt
Filed under: Vigna radiata
Lineage: Eukaryota; Viridiplantae; Streptophyta; Magnoliopsida; Fabales; Fabaceae
Description: long non-coding RNA (VRAD_LNC012957)
Source: RNAcentral
UAAUUAAAAAAAAUAACCGUGAGAGUAAAAGAAAAAAAAAAAGAAUGAAUUGAUGGCAUGGAAGAAAGCAAAAAAGAUAUAUUUAAGAAAAUGGAAAAAGAUAUAGACAUGAAAUAUGAUGACCAAUAUAAGUGCCGGUUAGUAACUAAAAGUGGUUGCUCCAUCGUCCAUCAAGAAAAAAAAGAAUGAUUAGGGUGAGAGAAUUUAGAGGAAGAAGAAAAU